UCUUUUCUUUUGAUAAGAGAGUUUUUAAAACCAGUGUUAUUUUUGUAAGUUUAAGAGAAGUUUGUGUAUUGAAUUUUUUAUUUUUAAUAUUAAAGAGCUUUGUUAAACUUAGACUUAAGUUUAGGUCAUUUUGGGGGUUUAGCUCAGUUGGCUAGAGCAUCGGCUUUGCAAGCCGAGGGUCAAGGGUUCGAGUCCCUUAACCUCCAUUGGGCUUAUGUCCUAAAUUGUAAUUAAGUAUGUUUUUAAGCAACUUUGUUAAAGUAAUUGUUAGAAUGUGAAACAGAGGAAGUUAAAAUUUCUGAGUUAAGUUGAGAUCUGUUGAUAUUAAGAAGAAUCUCUAGAAGCAAAAGCAAGCUUUCGAUAAAACCCGAAGUUGUUUCGCUAAAGUGCAAGGAUUAAACAGGAUUGUAUUUUCCAGCAGCCUAUUUUAUAAACGAUCUGCAUUUAGUAAAUAGUUUUUAGUUAAGAAAUAAUGUAUAUUGCUAAGUGUGAUGUC
RNAcentral lists this unclassified non-coding RNA (496 nucleotides) under Borreliella burgdorferi (Lyme disease spirochete). RNAcentral describes it as "partial 16S-23S ribosomal RNA intergenic spacer". The stretch from base 133 to 206 matches the Rfam family "tRNA". The record is from RNAcentral. Lineage: Bacteria; Pseudomonadati; Spirochaetota; Spirochaetia; Spirochaetales; Borreliaceae.